AGCGAACGCUGGCGGCAGGCCUAAUACAUGCAAGUCGAGCGGUCCCUUCGGGGGCAGCGGCGGACGGGUGAGUAACGCGUGGGAAUGUGCCCUUUGGUACGGAACAACUGAGGGAAACUUCAGCUAAUACCGUAUGUGCCCUUCGGGGGAAAGAUUUAUUGCCAUUGGAGCAGCCCGCGUUGGAUUAGGUAGUUGGUGAG
Molecule: ribosomal RNA, 200 nt
Filed under: uncultured bacterium
Lineage: Bacteria
Description: partial 16S ribosomal RNA
Rfam family: Bacterial small subunit ribosomal RNA
Source: RNAcentral